Molecule: non-coding RNA, 81 nt
Organism: Marasmius sp. AFHP31
Lineage: Eukaryota; Fungi; Basidiomycota; Agaricomycetes; Agaricales; Marasmiaceae
Source: the annotation of a GenBank genome assembly
GUCUUGGUCGAUUAGUGGUUAAAUCAUCUCGUUGUGGCAACGCAAUCCGAGAAGCCGAGGGCUCGACUCCCUCCCGAGACA